UUCGGGCCAAACAGCCAAUGACCAAGGGAAAGCUGGGGCAAAGGAGAGGCUCACACAGUGCCAAAGGAACAAAAAGGUUUUGGUCGACAAUAGAGGUGGAUGCAGUUGAAGAUACCUUGAUGAAUUUUAUCCGACUGGGAAAAACGCCUGGAAAACAAGACUGUGAGAAAUGCAUUGCUGCUUCUGGCCAAGCGCUAGUAAACAGGGACUGAAGAGCAGUAAAGUUCUAUGUACACAACAGAAUAGUUGCAGAUCAGAGAAAAUAAAUGGAUGCUUCUAUCUUGGUGUACCUCUGAGGAUUUAAUGGGAUUUACUUGACUUAAGCUCAUAGGCAGUUGAUGAAUGUCCUCCAUCUCACUCUGUUUGGGGGAAGUUUUCCCAGGUGGGUUGUUCACUUUUGGAGUGACUAAGGUCUCAAGAAUACAAAGCCUGCUGACUUUGAAUGUUACAGAAAAAUAAAAUACAUUUUUCUAAA
This is a long non-coding RNA of Salvelinus namaycush (lake trout), 475 nucleotides long. RefSeq lists it as uncharacterized. Lineage: Eukaryota; Metazoa; Chordata; Actinopteri; Salmoniformes; Salmonidae. The transcript is spliced from 2 exons. The record is from RefSeq and is a predicted model, not a curated record.